AUUACUUGCAUUUUGUUUGAUAUUUGACAUUAAAUCUUAUUCAACUGUCCAAAGAAAUUGAAACAAUUCUUGCUUUUAGGAAGAAUCGCUGGAACUCAUACUUCUUUCUUCUUUUGACUCUACUACUCCCCUGUAUUUAGAAGGGAAAACAGAAAAUAAAAAAUGUAGUCCAGACUCCAGCCUCUAUAUGAAAGGAAAGUGAAGGGACGGUGAAGGAGAGAAUUAGGAGAGUCACUGAGGGGCUGCGAAGACGGUUUACAUUAAAUAAAUAAAUAAAUAAAUAAAGGAUAGAAAGGGAAAGAAAACGAAGCAUUUGAAGGGAGAUAAUAGCAGACUUGCCAAAAAUCUGGUAAAAAACAGGUGCAGAAGGUUUUACUUCACUUACAGUUCUGAAAAGCCGACCAUCUGCAAAACUUGCUUACAAAGAAGUCUCUGCAGCAGAAUGGUCAAAGAAUGAUUUGUCUGACAUUGAAGUCUCAAGAGCUAGAUACAGCAAAGAUGCUUGCAUAUCAUUUAGACAUAUCUUCUCUAGUAUUGGCACAAACUUCGUUCUAAACCAAAAGACAAGAAAAUAGAAAAAUCAAUCCAAGUUUUACGAUACAUAUGGUUCUAACACAAGUAGUUACUUGGAAGAAAUCUCUGAUCUCCGAUCGAUAUGGGAGCGAUGGUGAAUGAGUCAUGAGUCUAGUAUACAAAUAGGAAGUUAGCAGUCGCAACGAUAGUGAACUCUGACUCUUCUUGUUUGAGGUGGACAAACGAUGAAAAGCAGCAGUGCCAAUAGCAGGAGCAGCACCAAAUUUAGCAGCAGACUAUGAUCAUCACCACCUGAGCCGCAGCAUGCGCUUCCCAUGCUAUUUCUUCUGCUGCAGAAAAUCUCCUGAAAAAAACAGCCGAAACGUCGCUGUGGUGCGAACAAGAAAUCAGAAGACUUUCAGCUCCAAAGCAGCAAAAAUAAAGAAGGAAAAUGAUAGAGAUCUUGAGUGUUUAAGAGGCUUGCAAACAUUAACUGAAGGUAGGUACCAGGGAAAGCCAAUUCAACAGCUCUAUGAUUGUUUAUGAUGAGAUUAAGACCAGAGGUUGCGAGGGAUGGACGAAAGGUAUAUAGAGAAAUUGAAAAGCAAAUUCUAUCCUCAGUGUAUGGCAUCCAAUUGAUGAUUGACACGUUAACCAAUUUGCUUUGCAUAUUUCAUUUUCAGUUCUGUCUUAAUGUUCGUACGUUCUGUGGCUUUGUGUGGUUCAGUGAAGGAAGGUCAUGGCAUAGGAGUGCAGCUCUUUUCUUCAGUGUUCCGCCCUUGGUGGUUACGUGUAUGCUCUGGGACGAGACGACGAAAGCAGCCAGACAUGGAAACUGUUGUUUGCGUAUACGUCAAAAGCUAGUGGAAAUAAGCAUGUGCAUGAGUUUUAGGUUAUAAUAAAAUAAAUAGAUAGCAAAUGGCACUGCUGUUGG
RNAcentral lists this long non-coding RNA (1447 nucleotides) under Coffea arabica (coffee). RNAcentral's name for it is "long non-coding RNA (CARA_LNC003123)". Lineage: Eukaryota; Viridiplantae; Streptophyta; Magnoliopsida; Gentianales; Rubiaceae. The record is from RNAcentral.